AACUAAGUUUGUUAUUGGUAUGAGCUUUCAUGUGCAUGCACACUUCUUCAGAUAUGAAGAUGUAUCUUUUCUUCAGAGAUGCAUCUGAAGAAGUGUGCAUGCACACAAAAGCUCGUACCAAUAACAAACUUAGUUGG
This 137-nucleotide microRNA precursor is filed under the name Podarcis lilfordi (Lilford's wall lizard). Lineage: Eukaryota; Metazoa; Chordata; Lepidosauria; Squamata; Lacertidae. The record is from RNAcentral.